RNAcentral lists this long non-coding RNA (1251 nucleotides) under Canis lupus familiaris (dog). RNAcentral describes it as "lncRNA (ENSCAFG00000052161.1)". Lineage: Eukaryota; Metazoa; Chordata; Mammalia; Carnivora; Canidae. The record is from RNAcentral.
AUGCGGCCAGGCCCGCUUUGCCAGCUCAGAGCAGGUACAGGCGGGGCCUGGGGGUCCCCGCGGGCCGGGGCCGCCCCGACUCCCAGCCCCACCCGCUCCCCGCUCUCCGGGGCAGUCUCCCCAGCCCGCUUACCGCCCUCCUCCACCACCGCGCCGGGCUUCAGCCCCUCCCUCGGCACCCCGGGGUCCUCAUGCCAAGCCCGGGGACACUCUUCGGGCCAGGGCGGCGCGCGGCUCGGGCCGGGACCGCGCUCGCGGCCCGGGACUGGGCGAGCAGCGUGUGUGACUCACUACCCGGGGCCCCGCUGGCCACACCCCUGCUCCUCGGCUAAUCAGCCCCCUGCUCCCCACCGGGGCCCCAAAGCCGGCGGCGGCUGGGAGGGGUGCGGGGAAACACGACGGCCUGCCCCCUCCGCCGAGCCCGCGGGGCCGGGGGCGCGCCGAGGGGGCGGGGGCGGCCCGAGUCGCCCCGCCCCGGGCCCCGCGCCCCGCCCCCGCGCCGCCCGCACCCCGGCCCCGGCCCCGGCCCCGGCCCCCGCCCCGCCCCGUCCCGCCCGCGUGUCCGGCGGGGAAAGUGUGAGGCCGCGCGGCGGGGCGCGGGGCGCGGGGGCCGGGCAGGGCGCGGGGCGCGGGGCGCGGGGGCCGGGGCGCGGGCAGGGCGCGGGCCGCCCUCCGUCUCACCAACCUUCCCGGCGGGGAGCUCCCUGCCCUGCCCGCCCGGCCCUGCCCAGCGCCGCCCCCCGCCCGCCAGGCCCGGCAUUCCUUGCGGGGGCAUGUGGCUUCUUGCCGGCCCCGGGGGCACGCAGUUGGCUGGCGGCCGGGAGGGGGGCGCGCGGGGAGCGGGAGCGGGAGCGGGCGCCGGGAGGGGCGGCGGCCGGGGGCCCGCCCGGCGGGAGUCCAGCCCCCCGCGGGCCGGGGCCGGGGCCGGGGCCGGGCCGGGGGGGCGCCGCGGGGGCCGGGCCGGGGGGUGGGGGCCGGGCGGGUCGGCGGCGAGCGCGGGCGGCCCCCCGCGCGCCCUCCCUGCGGCCGCCGCGGACUCGGCGUGGCUGCGGCGCGGCCUGCGGGCCACCGGGCACUCGGCUCCCUGCCGCCGCGCCCGCCCCCCGCCGCCCCGUCCCCACCUGCGCGGCCGGGGGUGGGGACCGGGCACCUGCGGGGCCGGCGGGGGGGGGGGGGGGCAGGCUCCGCGCCUGCCGCUGGGCCGCCCUCCCGGCCCACGGAAUGCCCCCCGCCGUGGGGGGCCGGGGUUGA